RNAcentral lists this ribosomal RNA (449 nucleotides) under uncultured bacterium. RNAcentral describes it as "bacterial SSU rRNA". It matches the Rfam family "Bacterial small subunit ribosomal RNA", at positions 330 to 794 of the family's 1533-position model. The record is from RNAcentral.
GCCAGACUCCUACGGGAGGCAGCAGUGGGGGAUAUUGCACAAUGGGGGGAACCCUGAUGCAGCGACGCCGCGUGGGUGAAGGAGCGUUUCGGCGCGUAAAGCCCUCUCGGCAGGGAAGAAGGAGGACGGUACCUGACUAAGAAGCCCCGGCUAACUACGUGCCAGCAGCCGCGGUAAUACGUAGGGGGCAAGCGUUAUCCGGAUUUACUGGGUGUAAAGGGGGCGCAGACGGCAGCGCAAGCCAGGAGUGAAAGCCCGGGGCCCAACCCCGGGACUGCUCUUGGAACUGCGCGGCUGGAGUGCAGGAGGGGCAGGCGGAAUUCCUGGUGUAGCGGUGAAAUGCGUAGAUAUCAGGAGGAACACCGGUGGCGAAGGCGGCCUGCUGGACUGCGACUGACGUUGAGGCCCGAAAGCGUGGGGAGCAAACAGGAUUAGAUACCCCAGUACGC